This 106-nucleotide ribosomal RNA is filed under the name Megaloprepus caerulatus. Its description in RNAcentral is "partial 16S ribosomal RNA". Lineage: Eukaryota; Metazoa; Arthropoda; Insecta; Odonata; Coenagrionidae. The record is from RNAcentral.
UUUUCCAACCGGUGUAAGCCAGGUCGGUUUCUAUCCCCAAUUUUUUUAUAGUUUUUAGUACGAAAGGACCACUAUUAUGAAAUUUUUUUUUCUUUUGGUUAAAGUU